Non-coding RNA from Cinara cedri, 294 nucleotides. The record is from the annotation of a GenBank genome assembly. NCBI's taxonomy places the organism in Eukaryota, Metazoa, Arthropoda, Insecta, Hemiptera, Aphididae.
UGAUGCUGUUUCGCCGGUUGAAUAUAAAACGGCAAAUCUAUCGGAUUUCAUACUCUAUUAGACUUCCACCGUCUACCCCGUUCCCCACCCCCCUCGCCAAUGCCUACCAGUCGUGCUCGGCGGCUGACGUGCAUUCAUCCAAUUCAAUUCCGUCGCUAAACUGGGGAACUAUUCUAUUUAUUUUUAUUUUUUAUUUUUUCUAAUGAUUCCUCGCUCGCCUAUCCGCGAGGGGUUUAUAAUGUAUACAAUACGACGACGACAACGCGCGACGUAUAGCUUUUGAAAUUAUAUAGG